UGGGGAAUAUUGCACAAUGGGGGAAACCCUGAUGCAGCGACGCCGCGUGAGCGAAGAAGUAUUUCGGUAUGUAAAGCUCUAUCAGCAGGGAAGAAAAUGACGGUACCUGAGUAAGAAGCUCCGGCUAAAUACGUGCCAGCAGCCGCGGUAAUACGUAUGGAGCAAGCGUUAUCCGGAUUUACUGGGUGUAAAGGGAGCGCAGGCGGCAGGGCAAGUCUGAUGUGAAAUACCGGGGCUCAACCCCGGAGCUGCAUUGGAAACUGUUCUGCUGGAGUGUCGGAGAGGCAGGCGGAAUUCCUAGUGUAGCGGUGAAAUGCGUAGAUAUUAGGAGGAACACCAGUGGCGAAGGCGGCCUGCUGGACGAUAACUGACGCUGAGGCUCGAAAGCGUGGGGAGCAAACAGG
This 404-nucleotide ribosomal RNA is filed under the name uncultured bacterium. Its description in RNAcentral is "bacterial SSU rRNA". It matches the Rfam family "Bacterial small subunit ribosomal RNA", at positions 355 to 776 of the family's 1533-position model. The record is from RNAcentral.